This 1693-nucleotide long non-coding RNA is filed under the name Physcomitrium patens. RNAcentral's name for it is "long non-coding RNA (PPAT_LNC013316)". Lineage: Eukaryota; Viridiplantae; Streptophyta; Bryopsida; Funariales; Funariaceae. The record is from RNAcentral.
AUAAAUAAUGAUUGUUGGUUAAAAUAUAUGAAGAGGAGUGGGUGUAUUGUGAGUGAUGCUUUGAAAAUAAUAGAGUAAAGAAUUGGUAUGAAGAUAUACAUCAUAAUUGUAUUUGUAGCAUAAUUGUAUUAUCUUUUGAUGACAUAAUAUAACAUUAUAGAUUUGUAAGUUUGAACUUCAAGUGACAAAAUGGUGCAAAAAUUGUAAUAUUUGUGAACAAUAAAUGUUGAUUUUAAAAAUAGCUAAGAUAUUUGAGGUCAUUAAUAUGAGUAUUUUACUAAAAUUUAGAUUUCAUAAUGAUUUAAUUUUACUUUUCUUUUCUUAGAGGCAUCUUAACAAUUAUAUAACAAAAAUUGGUAAAAAAAUGAAAAUGAUCCUUAAAUGAAUUUAGAAAAUUGUUAUUCUUGCAUAGUCUUUAGAUGGUCAAGUAGUUGAAUAGUUAUGUGAGUAGAAGUGAAGUUACUUAGAUGGAUACAUACAAAUAGACAAUCACUAUAAUUUUUAUUGUAUAAGAUGUAUAUAUGUACAUUUAUUGUAUGUAACUUUUGUAACAUUUUGUGUAUGAUUUCAUGUGCUUUAAGAAUAUCUAUGAAAAGAAUAUUUGUGUUAUUUCAUGCAAGACACAAUUUAGACCAAUAAAUAAAUAAAUAAAUCUAUAUAUAUAUAUAUAUAUAUAUAUAGAUUUCAUGUGCUUUGUGAAUAUCUAUGAAAAGAAUAUUUGUGUUAUUUCAUGCAAGACACAAUUUAGACCAAUAAAUAAAUAAAAAAAUCUAUAUAUAUAUAUAUAUAGAGAGAGAGAGAGAGAGAGAGAUACCAUAUUUCUUUGUUGAAUGAUUUUAGUGCAAGCAAACAUAUUUGGAGGUUAAUGUUUAGUUCUUUUUCUUUCAGCAACAGUUUUUAUUCUAAAUUUAUAAUUAUCUGCAAAAUGAUUUUGAUAUUUUCAGAAACUCAAUUUUCUUAAUUUAAUAAUACACUGUGUGCAGCAAAGAAAUUGUUUUUAAUAUGGUAUUAGUUACCACACUUCAAAAAUAUUAUGCAAGAGAAAUUGCAUAAAUUGAAUAAAUUACAUAGCAUAUAAAGUUUAUUCCAUUAAUUAUAUUCAACAUUUUUAUAACAUGGCUACUUAAAAUUUUUUGAGUUUGAUGAUUAAUUAUUUAGAAAUAUAAUUGAAAUUUAGAACCACAAUGAAAUCGAUAAAUUUUGAACAAAUGUUUGUUUAUACAAAAAAAAUGAUAUCAAUUUAUACUUCUAAAAAAUCUUUUAAAAUCUAAAUAUAAAAUUAUACACCUGUUUUUAAUAUAUCACUGAGUAUUUUAACAAAAAAAAUUGAUUAAAAAAUUUCAAAUUAUGGUUGUUAAGAAACAAAUUAACAUAAGAUCAGCUAAACACUUUAUUUAAUGCAUCUUCAUAGUAUUAAGAAUUAUCAUUUUAUGAUUUUUAAAAAUAUAAAAAAAUAAAAUUUACAUACAAAAUAUUUUAAAUAUCUUAAAAUAUGUACAAUUCUUGAUAUUUCGUAAUAAAAAAAUUAAGUAAUCAUUAUUUAUUCAUUAUUUCAAAAACAUAUUUUAUAUAUAUACAUAUAUAUACACACACAUAAACACCACUUUUGAACUGACAACUUUUUAAAAUAUUGCAACCAAUUGCAUACUAUAUAUAAUUCAAUUCGCAUAUUUAAAAUCACCCUGCAUUUUAC